Molecule: long non-coding RNA, 913 nt
Organism: Gallus gallus (chicken)
Lineage: Eukaryota; Metazoa; Chordata; Aves; Galliformes; Phasianidae
Source: Ensembl
AUUUGCCAGAGUAGAAUGGAACAUGUGGGAUUUAUUAUAAAAAGUCACUGUCUCUGUCCCUGUGGGAUGACAGCUGAUCUACCACAAACAUUUAUUUCCAAAUUAUAGUAUCAUACCAAUCGCAGCUCUUGAGUUGAGACUGCUGUAGUAUUUACCUUAUAAGCUGUUAGUUUCAGGAAUUAAAAUGCCCCCAUAUCAGUAAGUUGGCAGCGGGAGACUAUUAUAUAUUAUUAUUCAAAUUUAUUAAAUAUAAUAGAUGAGACAGCAAAUGAUCAGUAAUUAUGCCCAUAGGUUAUUCACUCCGUGUGUGUAUAACUAAAUGCAUGUAUACAUUUGUAUGAUACAUAGUAUAGUUAAUUAAUAGUGUUUAAAUAGCGCAGUGAUGCUCUGUUGCGGGCAGUAAUGCAUAUCCCCAUACAGAAGCCAAGAAACAUGCCAUUUGUAUUUAGCUGGGUAGGCUUAGUGACACGGAUUAAUCUUUCAGAUGGAAUUGCAACACACAGGGCUGUUAGAAGAAAACCCUCAGUGGAAAAAGAAAAAAAGAAAAGAAAGAAAGAAAGAAAAAGAAAGAAAAACAAAGAAGAGCUGUUUAAAUCCAGAACAAACAUGAAGUUGAAGGUCAGGGAUGCAUGGAAGGUGCUGAACCCACAGCAGGUCACUUCUCUCAGCAGCUUGUGCCAGGGAAGGCAAUUUCCAGGUGAGUGUACUCGCAUAUGUGGUAUGUAUGGUAAUAAUAGAAAGACCAUCCUGGCUUUGUUAAAGGCAGAGAAAGUUUUGCCACUGACUCUGAUGGGGGUCAAGACUUCACUCUCUAGCAGCUCCAAAGAUCCAUGGAGAUCUGUUGCUAUACCAACAUGGACAACUGUAUAAUUGUUCCUAUAACUAUGCUACAACCUCACUGAUUGUAAUGGAA